Small nuclear RNA from Microtus ochrogaster (prairie vole), 111 nucleotides. NCBI's taxonomy places the organism in Eukaryota, Metazoa, Chordata, Mammalia, Rodentia, Cricetidae. The record is from Ensembl.
GUGCUAGGUGUCGCUUCAGCAGCACACAUACUAAAAUUGGAAAGAUACAGAGAAGAUUAGCAUGGCCCCUGCGUGAGGGUGACAGGCAACUGUGUGGAGCAUUCAUAUUAA